This 1041-nucleotide long non-coding RNA is filed under the name Marmota monax (woodchuck). The record is from RNAcentral. Lineage: Eukaryota; Metazoa; Chordata; Mammalia; Rodentia; Sciuridae.
AGGGCUCAUGCAUUUAUUCCAACAUGUUUCUUCCUGUUACCUCUCUUCCAUGGUCUACUGUGCUCUUCACACUUGUGCCCAGUUCCUAGCCUCCCUUCUCUCAGGCUUGUGAGGAAUCCACUUUUGCCAGCCAUGUCCCCAUCAAGACCUGAGUCCCACAGAGUCUGAGCGCAGAUGCCAGGCCCUCUUCUUUUGCAUACGCACACACACACACACACACACAAUUUUUAGUUGUGAUGGAUCUUUAUUUUAUUCAUUUACUUGUAUGUGGUGCUUAGAAUCAAACCCAGUGCCUCACACAUGCUAGUCAAUGGCUGUACCACUGAGCCAAAACCCCAGGCCCCUGGCCCUCUUCUUGUUCUGGUCUUUCCUGAAUUUCUGUAACUGCUUUCCACCCGACGUUGGGAGCUCCGCUCCCUGUGCUGCCGGCCACAUCUGUUUGUGCCAUGAGUAUUUUCAACACAUUUCUGAUCUUGUCCUCUGUCUGCAGACUUCCCACAAUUUUAAUGUCAAACUCCUUUAUCUUUCAAUAUAUAUUUUUUCAAAAUUAAAUAGAUUUGUGAGUCCCUUGUGUUUCUGAUUCUGAUUGAGUAAAAGUGGUGGUGGGAGAUACUGACACAGAUAGGACCACAUUCUAGAGGGCUAGUUCAGUGAAGCCCCAAAGAGAGGAGACUAGGGGAAGUCAUGGGUCCCCAUACCUGGUCUAAUUCAGGUGCCAUAUAAGAAUGUGAAAAGGUAUGAAAACAUUCAAUUGUCCACUAUCCGGGGGCUUGGAAGUGGGGUUGUGUGCAGCAGUCUUUCCUGGCUUCUGCUGCAGCCUGAUGCGUUUUAUAUAUUUGAGCUAUUGGAAUUGUUUUGUGCCAUCAUGUUGCCUAAUAACACCUAACACUAUAAGUUAACCAACCUCGCCACACAAAUGUCUCCUGGCCUUGUUGACUAUGUACAUGGAGGCAAAAGACAAUGAUUGUGGGUUGCGUCUGAACUACCAGAUUAUAUACUUGCCAGUGGGAGUUUUAUUAGAAAGUAAUAUGUUGAUUGCAU